UAAUUCAGCAGCUGAGGAACUCAGGAAAGCCUGCUCCAAACUUCUCAGCUGUUGACAGGCUUGACUUGCUGAGAACACUGGUUAAAUAUAGCACAAGCGAGCUGAGCUCAACAAAGUCAUUGCUGUAACACUGUGUGAAGAGACCAGAAGAGGGGAAAUACAAUCUGAGAACUAAACUGCCAAAGCCUAACACCACCUAGCAACAGCUGAAAAAACUUUUAAACAAAAGUCUGGGUGAGACACAGACAGAAUAUACCUCCUGCUUCUCCUGCCUGGGAUUUCUGCGAGAAGCAGCUCUGGUCUUCUGUUCUCUACCUUGUUUCCUUCAUUACUUCAACUGCUGGUAGACCUAGAAAAGUGGGAAAAGUUUCUAUCUUUGUGCUCUCCUGAGCUGGAUCAUUCUCCUCCUGUGGUAGUGCUGUGGGACGGGCUACUGCGAUCUUGCAGUGUAAAGGAUAUAUUCCUAGGUCCGUGUUGCUGACAGGGAGCAGCAGGGACACCAGUCAGCCUCAGGUGGGAGCAGCAGAGCCAUGGCACAGGGACACCUCUACCCUCGACUCCCUCCUCCCCACUCCGGACCUAGAUUCUAGUGAAGCCCCUGCCCUGGGAGCAUCCCUCGACACAGGCAGGGAUGAGAUCCCGAAACCAAGGUGGAGAAAGCUCGUCUAACGGGCACUUCUCCAGUUCCAAGCCUGUCAUCAGCCAUGCAGAGAAUGAAAAACUUCAGGAGGAUGCCAAGAAAAAGAACAAACCUCAUCGGAAGGAAGAUGAGGUCAUGGUUUCAGCAACUGUCAAACGGCACUCAAAAUCACCUGGUCCUUGUGAGCGAAAGAACAAGAAGUCCAUAGAGCUUUCUAAAGAAGACUUGAUCAAACUACUCAGUAUAAUGGAAGGAGAAUUGCAGGCAAGGGAGGAUGUGAUCCACAUGCUGAAGACAGAGAAAACCAAACCUGAAGUUUUAGAAGCUCAUUACGGGUCUGCAACUCCAGAGAAUGUGCUUCGAGUGCUACACAGGGAUGCCAUUCUUGCCCAAGAAAAGUCUAUAGGGGAAGAUGUCUACGAGAAACCAAUUUCAGAGCUGGACAGACUUGAAGAAAAGCAGAAAGAGACAUAUCGGCGUAUGCUGGAACAGCUCCUGCUGGCAGAAAAGUGCCAUCGUCGCACCGUUUAUGAGCUAGAAAAUGAGAAGCAUAAACAUACAGAUUACAUGAACAAGAGCGAUGACUUUACCAACCUCUUGGAACAGGAGCGGGAGAGGUUGAAGAAACUUCUUGAGCAGGAGAAGAUCUAUCAAGCCCGUAAGGAAAAGGAGCAUACAAAGAGAAUUAAUAAACUAAGAGAAGAACUAGUCAAGCUCAAAUCAUUUGCACUGAUGCUGGUGGAUGAAAGACAAAUGCAUAUUGAACAGCUUGGUCAACAAAGCCAGAAAAUACAAGACUUAACCCAAAAACUAAAGGAAGAAGAAGAAAAGCUUAAAAUUAUUACUGCAAAAACAAAAGAAGAUGGGCAAAAACUGAUGAAAUUAGAGGCAGAACUUGAACACAAAACAUUAUCAUUUUGUCAAGAACAUGAGGAGAUGACUGCUAAACUGGCUAAUCAAGAGUCACAUAAUAGACAGCUAAGGCUCAGGCUAGUGGGGUUGACUCGCAGAAUAGAGGAGCUAGAAGAAACUAACAAAAAUCUUCAAAAAGCUGAGGAGGAACUUCAAGAACUAAGAGAUAAAAUAGCGAAAGGGGAAUGUGGGAACUCUAGUUUAAUGGCAGAAGUGGAAAACCUCCGCAAGCACGUGCUUGAAAUGGAGGGGAAAGAUGAAGAGAUCACAAAAACUGAAUCACAGUGCAAAGAGUUGAAAAAUAAACUGCAAGAGGAAGAGCAUCAUAGCAAAGAGUUGAAACUUGAAGUGGAAAAACUGCAGAAAAGAAUGUCAGAAUUAGAGAAGCUGGAAGAGGCUUUCAGUAAAAGUAAGUCAGAAUGCACUCAGCUACACUUAAACUUGGAGAAAGAAAAAAAUUUGACUAAGGAUUUGAUAAAUGAGUUGGAAGUGGUGAAGACUCGUGUGAAGGACCUUGAGACAUCUGAAAGCAAGUUGGAAAAGGCUGAAAUAAGCUUAAAAGAUGACCUUACGAAGCUGAAGUCAUUUACUGUAAUGCUGGUUGAUGAGCGAAAAAAUAUGAUGGAAAAAAUAAAACAGGAGGAGAAAAAGGUUGAGGGCUUAAACAAGAAUUUUAAAGUUGAACAAGGGAAAGUUAUGGAUGUAACAGAGAAAUUGAUAGAAGAAAGUAAGAAAUUUUUGAAACUGAAAUCUGAAAUGGAGGAAAAAGUAUCUAGUUUGACAAAGGAAAGAGACGAGUUAAUUGGCAAACUGAGAAGUGAAGAAGAAAAAUCAUCUGAACUAAGCUGUAGAGUUGACCUGUUAAAGAAAAGAAUUGAUGGUAUGGAGGAAGUAGAAAGAGAAAUUACAAGAGGUCGGGCUAGGAAAGGAGCAGAGCAUGGUUGUCAUGAGGACAACAAGAUUAAGGAACUUACCAUUGAGAUCGAAAGACUGAAAAAACGUCUCAAACAACUGGAAGUGGUUGAAGGAGAUUUGAUGAAGACUGAAGAUGAGUAUGAUCAGCUAGAACAGAAAUUUAGGACUGAGCAGGAUAAAGCUAAUUUUCUUUCUCAGCAAUUGGAGGAGAUGAAACUCCAGAUUGCCAAAACGAAAGCAAUAGAAAAAGGUGAAGUAGUGAGCCAGGAGGCAGAGUUUAGGCACAGGUUUCGUCUGGAAGAGGCCAAAAGCAGAGAUUUGAAAGCAGAAGUUCAAGCACUUAAGGAAAAAAUCCAUGAGCUCAUGAACAAAGAAGACCAGCUUUCUCAGCUCCAAGUCGAUUAUUCAGUUCUACAGCAAAGGUUUAUGGAAGAGGAAAACAAAAACAAGAGCAUGGGGCAGGAAGUCUUGAACCUGACAAGAGAGCUGGAGCUUUCUAAGCGUUACAGCCGCGCUCUGAGGCCCAGCAUGAACGGGAGAAGAAUGGUCGAUGUUCCCGUGACGUCCACCGGCGUGCAGACAGAUGCUUUAAGCAAUGAAGCAGCAGAAGAAGAAACUCCAGCAGUGUUUAUAAGGAAAUCCUUUCAAGAGGAGAAUCAUAUCAUGAGCAAUCUGCGACAGGUAGGUCUGAAAAAACCCAUGGAGCGUUCUUCAGUGCUUGAGAGAUAUCCUCCAGCAGCAAAUGAGCUUGCUAUGAGGAAAUCCUGGAUACCGUGGAUGAAAAAGAGGGAAGCUGGGGCUCAGACAACUCCUGAUAAAGGAGCCCGAACCCACAGUAGUCCAGCACAUCCUGGGGAGGUUGUCCUUUCACCAAAGCAGGGUCAGCCUCUUCAUAUUCGGGUGACACCAGACCAUGAGAACAGUACAGCAACUUUGGAGAUAACCAGUCCAUCUGCAGAGGAAUUUUUUUCAAGUACCACUGUCAUUCCUACUUUGGGAAAUCAGAAGCCACGAAUAACCAUCAUUCCCUCUCCAAAUGUUAUGCCACAAAAAGGAAAAGGCAGUGAAAGUCCCAUGGGCCCAGAUCGUUCCAUGUCUCCAGUCACUAUAACAACAUUCUCCAGGGAAAAGUCCCCAGAGGGAGGGAGAGCACCCUUUGCUGACAGACCUGCAUCGCCAAUUCAGAUUAUGACAGUAUCAACCUCUGCAGCACCAGCAGAAAUCUCAGUCUCUCCACAGUCACAAGAUAUGACCAUGGGAAGGGCUGUCUUCAAAGUCACGCCAGAAAAGCAAACCGUCCCGACUCCAAUCCGCAAGUACAAUGCCAAUGCCAACAUUAUUACAACAGAGGACAACAAAAUCCACAUCCACUUGGGCUCCCAGUUCAAACGUUCUCCCAGUGCUGCGCCUGACGGUGCGAGCCCUGUGAUAACAGUCCGGCCGGUGAACAUCGCGGCAGAGAAAGAGGUGGUGACUGGCACUGUCCUUCGAUCACCUCGGAACAACCUGUCCCCGCGACCUGCAGCCAGCAAGGUGACAAGCACUAUCACCAUCACGCCUGUUACAACGUCUUCCACACGAGGAACACAAUCAAUGACAGGACAGGACGGGUUAUCCCCGAGACCUACACCCACCCGCAUUCCUGUGUCAAAAGGUAUGAAAGCAGGAAAGCCGGUAGUGGCAGCCCCAGGAGCAGGAAAUGUGACAAAAUUCGAGCCUCGUGCUGAGACUCAGUCUAUGAAAAUAGAACUGAAGAAAUCUUCAGCCAGCAGCUCUGCCUCCCUGGGCGGGGGUCAGGGUUGAUGGCCGUGGCUCAGGGGGUACGUUCUGCAGGUUUUACUGCUGCCAUGGAAGUCAGCUCCCCUGUCUGUGUAGUUGUUCACGUUUGCCUGUACUAAUGAAGUCCUGCAGAUGAUACUUAACAACAAACUAAUAAGUGUGUGCACUGACUACUUAAAUAACCAAACCAUUUUGUUUCCUUACUCAAGUUUAAAAAAAAAAAAAAAAAAAAAAAAAAGCUGUCAAAAAGGCAAUUUUAUGCCAGGAAGAUUUUCAGUCUAGGAAGUGAGAAUGGGGUAACUGGUUAUUAAUCUAGUUCAGGAAUUCUUAAUGAUAGACUUGAUCACUUUUUAGUAGAUCAAAGGAAGUUUGGUCACAUGUACUAGAUUGUUUUCCACCUUAACAGAUCACUUUCCACUUUUGCUGCUGCAUGGUCUGCUUUCUUUCCUGCCUUGAUCACAUUAUUGAAAUGCCACAUGGCCUAGGGAAGCAAUGCCAGAAGACUUGCCAUGUGCACUUGAGGUCCUGUUUUAAUGAAAGUCAGUACCUCGUGUGUUUGUGGGGGGGGGGAAGAGAGGAAGGAUGGGCACCAUGUGACCAUGUGGCCUUCUGUCUAGGAGCCUCCCAUCAAAAUCACCAUUUCUCAGUGGUGAGCUGCUUUCUCAAGAUAGUUACUAAACUCAAGGGCAUAGGGAUGUUGCAUAAUGUUUGGCAGCAACUUAAUUCUUCCAGAGAGAGUUAACACUUGUAGACAGCACUUAGAACCAGGUUCCUGAUUUACACACACUGGAAUGCUGCCAGCUCAGGACUCAGAUGAAGGCUUGUGAGCCAGAAGGUGUUUAGUCUUCAGCAAAAGCUUGAGAAACACUGUCUGGUAAAAAUUGACACAAUCCAUUUGAGCCUGCUCCAAAGACCACUAAAGGCUAUGAAGCAACUCAUUCGAUUGAUCUGACUAGGCUUUCAGUUUUCCUGGUUGGGUCUUACAUUUAAACCUUAGUUGCCAAGCAUCCUUAUUAUGUCUUAGAGGGUAAGUCAGCACAGACUGCUGGUGGCAGGAAUUGCUGUCUAAAGGCACAGCUCAGGUAGAAAGAGAGAGGAUUUGGUAAUGAAAUUAUUCCCAGUUUUCAGUUGUUUAAAAUAUUUUGUCAUAAAAUGCAGACCACCUUACAUACACCAUGGUGAUUCAUCAUUUUUCCUUCCCUCUUCGUGAUUUCCUCAUCUGUAUGUUUGCAUUUUUUAAGCAUGUUUUAAGGAAUUUUUCUAGCAUGGAAAUAGUGUGGAUGCUGAUGGUUGUUAUGAUUGUUUAAUUAUUUAAUGACAGUUGAAUUAUUAAAGCACAUUUCCAUUCAGUGAUCAAUUUUCACAGAAGAAAGUCACAAUCAAAAGAAAUGAAGCUGUGCAGACUAAUAAAUGAUGGGUUUAAAGUUGUAUAAUGCUUCAACCACCUCAGCAAGCUGUGAAGGGCCCAGUGGUUAAAACAGAAAGAAAGGUGGGAAGUCCACCAAUAAAUUACAAACAAAAUUCACAGAAAGGAAAAUGCACCAGUGGUUGAAAUAAGAAAUUUGGCCUGGGAGAAGAUAUUUGAUGGAAGACUCUAUCACCGAAGGUCAACAAAAUUAUACUCAAUCCAAGCAGUGUUUAGUUUUCUGUCUGCUUUGCAUUGCUGUAGAAUUUUAAAACCAGAUACAGCAAUCUUCCCAAUGUAAAGCUGACAUUUUAUCAUUCACAUAAAGGGGAUUUUUUCUUUGCCACAUUAAAAAAAGAGGAGGUUUUGGUUUGUCACAUGUGUAGCGCCUAAAAUGGUUGUUAAUUUUAAGGUUUUUAUUCCUAUGACAUCCAAAAAUCAGAUUGGUAUUAGUAGCAUUUUUUUGUAACUCCUAUUCCCAGUACUUCAGAUUAAACUUGGAAACUGGAAUUAGCAAGCAAUGUGAAUUACUAUGUCAGAAAUACAUCAGAUCCUCUCAAGUAAUUCUUAUCACUUAAAAGCCUCAGUAUGUCAAUAAAUUGUUGCUGAGAUCUUACUGUUCUUACUGUAACACAGACAUUUUAACAGCUAUUUAAAAGAACAAACAGGGUUUUUUUCUGGAUUUUCACCCUAAAUACUGUUACUGAAGGAAGUUGUAAGGUCAAACCAGUGAAAUAAUAUUGCAAACAUGAUCCCCAGGCAUCAAGUGUGGAUUGAUACAGCUGCCUUAAGCUUUCCUUGUGUCAAAGAAAUUUUGUUCCUUAGUUGACUGUCACCAUGCUCAAUAUCCUUUGUGUGCUUGUUGUUGAAAAUUUUGUUUGUUUGAGGUCUAAGAAACUAAUUCACCUGAAGAAACAAGCCAGCCUCACAGUACCUGAUAUCUAGGGCACAGAAACUGGCAAAGCUAGAGCCACAAAUGCAGGCACAGGCUAGGAAUUGCUCCUGUGGAGUCAGUAGGAUUUGAUGAGACAAACUUCAGAAAUUCCAGAGAGGUCAGACUUAGGAUCCUGUUAUUUUUCCCCAGGGGCUGCACAUCAAAAAUGGACUUUUGUUCUGCAGCAGAAGUCUAAAGGGUUGGAAUCGGGCAGCUGGUUAAACUGUUAGCUAAAAACAGGUAUUUAGUUAUACUCAAAACUUUUGACAUCUGUUUUAAUUGACCUAAUAUUCUUAUUUCCUAAAGGUAGAACAAAGGUAAAAUGACUUGAAAAGAAAGCCCAUAGUUCAGAAAUCUUAAAAGUUCAAGGCUAACUAUUUGUAUUACAUUGAAAUUUCCUUUGAAUCUGAAGACAGUUAUGUUUCGUGACUACAGUAAGAUUCUCCAUUCAGUAGGUCAGCUCCAAAAGGCAAUUUAAACAACGAAAUCUAAAAACAGUGCCUAAGCACAAGAGGCAUCCGGAAGAUCUUCUUGAUGUUCUUCCCUUGUCUAGUCAGUGUUUCUGUUAUGACUUAAAUGUAGCACUGCAGCCUCUGUACCUCAGUGAGAUCCGUAAUGCAGGUAUUCUUGUAUUUCCUCCGAGGCUUUUAAGUCAAGCCACUAUUUCAUGGUCACUUAAAGUCAGGCUCUAACUCCACACUGGACUGAAAAGCUAUAGUCCUGUCUCUGUCACCUCCAACCAAGAAAGUAGUCACUGACUAUGUGGUGGGACAAGUGUUUGAACUUAACUGGGGAACUGAUCUGAAUUAAAAGGAAUCUGGCAAAAAAGCACAGAGGCUGGCUUUAAUGUAACUCUGUGCCAAGCUUACAGGCCAGAAAAAAAAAACAGAGGGCAUAGGAAACCAGUUGGUGGUUUAAAGUGAAUGUAGGAUCAUGAAUGUCUUCUAGUAGAUCAAAUACCACACAAACACAGGGGUAGUGCUGCUUAUUGUCAAAAGGUUUUGAUUGAAACCUUUUUUCAAAGGUAGGAGACAAGUUCCCCUUUUCAACUGUACCUGAGGAGAUUCAAACCCACUUCAGCUGCAGGCAGGUUCACUAGUGGCACUAGCAGCUGAGGGGGAUGAAGGUGGCAUUCUCAUUCCCUCCUGGAAAGACUGUGCCGUUCUGCAUGGAAUGCUUCAGUAUUCACUCAGCAGAAACAAGAGAGUGGUUGAGGGGUCAGGAUACUGACCUAGGAGGGAGCUUCCCCAGAUUCAUGUCCCUGUUCCCAAGGCUGCCUUUGAGCCUAGCCCUUUUGAAAAGGAGGCUUAUAAGAUGGAGUGUCUGUGUUCAUCCAUACUUCCAUCUCUCCUUCCCUAAUGAAUAGCACCGAACACACCAACCAAUUUCAUCCAAACCCGACAAAGCAAUAGGGGACUCCAGAAUAAGUUGUUCCAGUUUAAUGAAAAGGAUGGCAGAGAAAAGAAGCAAGACUUUAGCAGUGCCUCACUGUGUAGAAGAGUAGGGCAUGAGCUCACCUUCACACAGCAUCAAAGAAUGAACACAAGAGUGAUGUCAGAAAUACCAUAAGGACAAGCUUUGUUCAGACCUCAGAAUUUACUAGGCACCAAAGAAUUAAACUCUGAUACAUCGAUCCAAAGUAAAAUAUUAGGGCUUUCUUUACAGGGCUUUUGUGUAUUAUACAUUACUGGAUUAUAAUACAUAAACUAAGCCUUACUAAGUGAUCAUUUGGAAUCACUCAUUCUCAUGCUUUCUCCCUCUUUACCUUUUUUCUUAGUCAUUUUGUUUGGGAUUUUUUUCAUAAUGAAGUGGAACAAUUUCAGUAGCAAAAUAAUGUACUCAGAAUCGUAAUGAUAGUUACAGUGCUUUGUCAGGAACUAAGAUGACUGACCAAUCUUUGUACUUUUAGUCACAUUCAGUGUCAGCUGGAGAGAAGCCCUGUUUUGGCUGAUGACAUGGCCAUAUAAACAGUUGUGAUAACUCAAGCCCAUCAGCAGUAACAUAUGGCAUAGCACCAGCCGUAAGGUAGAGAGGGGGAAGGGCAGGGAAAAUGCUAGCCCAUUCACGAGCAGCACACAUGGACUGAGAAGAUGCACCCUUAGUUCUCCAGAUGAUCUCCCUGAUUUUAAGUCUAGUUCGUAACAAGUUUUCUACUGUGUCCAUGAAAUUAGAGCCCAUCACCAGACUUACUGCCACAUAGGGGUAUUGCUAAUGUAGUCAUUAGUAGAUCAAUACAUUUGAGUAAGUGCCAGUGAAAAAGGAGCACAGAGUUUCAGCUGUAAUGCCUGGGGGGAUUUCUCUCAGAUUAGUAAACAUCCUGGGCAAAUGGUAGAAGAAAAACAGAGGUUUUGCUUUACUUUGCUCACCUUUUUUCCUUUUGUGACACCUGUUAGUGGGAUUUUUCAAAAACCAAACACGUUGUGACUCUUUGUAGUAGGCCCAUAGAGUACACAUCACUGUAUUUAAACCUCAAACCACUUAAAGCUCUUAGUAAUUACCACCAUGGGAGUAAUCUCUAAAGUCACAUUAAUAUGUUGAUCCGUGCCAACAGGAUGCCAAGUGGUAUGUCCCUGCUUGAAAUAUGCCAAACACUUUCUAAAAUACACUCGGUAUUUACAUGAAUAUUCAGUAAUUCUGAUCAGAUGUGGAACAACAUGUCUUCAAAUGGAGCUUGCUACUGUCCUGCUGAAUUUCAGGUACUUGGCAUAAGCUGCAACAGUCAGGACAAUUUUCAGACCAAUUAUAUGUUCCCAUCACACAUCAGUGGCCAAUUUCACUGAGUUGCUUUGAAACACGUAGUUAGCUGGCAGGAGUUUUUGUGAGCUCAUCUUUUGAACUUGUUUUCAUUUAGGGGAAUGGUUUUCUCCCCUGUGUAAGUGUGAGUUAUCCUCUUUCUCUUAAUUUUGCUCUUGGGCAAAAUUAUAUGCAAUAUUUUUCAUUAUAGAUAUUAACUUCACUUUGAAUCUUACUCCCUACACAUUGCUCUUACCUUGGCUUCUUUUUUUCUCUUAAAAUGUAACCAGGGUUAACUUCUGUCAGGUGCAGAGCUAUCAGCUCUCAGGUAUGAAACACUCAGGUGUGAAUGGUUCUCCAAACAAAAAAAAAACCUCUCCUUGGGAUUUUAAAAACAGAAUUAGAAAUACUGAUGUAUGAUUCUCUUCUGUUGCUUGGGUGUGCAUUGUCUGCAAUUGUGGUACAUCUGUUUUUGUAUUAUCUGGUGAUACUUGUAUAUAUUGUAAGGAGAAAUUAAACUUUAUAUGUUAAAAUGUCACUUGAUGUGCUUCAUUAUAUGAACUGGUAUCUUGAUGUGUUUCCUCAAGAAGUUCUGCUUUACAUCAGUAGGACUGAAAGCAGAAUUAGCUGUUUUACAUUAACUUAAUUUUCUUUUUCUGUCAUUAAAAUAAAUUGUUUUGUUUAAGUGAAUACAUAGCUCCUUGGAAGAUUCCCAUCUAGAACCCUAGAAAAAAUUAUUUAAUCAUAUCCUUCAAAUAGAAUCAUAUUCCUACCAUAUUCCAUGGAUAUGAAUAUAUCAUAUCCAUUCCCCAGAGAGUGGCCCAAAAGAACUCUGACAAAAUCUGCCCUACUCUAAUUUUAGCUUAGUAACUGUUCAGACACCUCUUUUAGUAACACACGUGUGUGUGUGUGUGUGUGUGUGUGUGUAUGUGUGUAUAAUAUAUAUAUUCAUACAUAUAUAUAAGCAUUUCAAAUACAACUGAGACAAUCUUGAAGCAUGUGUUCUUUAGGUGUGUGAGAAAUUAAUGGAAGAUAAAUAUCAGUGGAAACUAUCUGACUUCUUUAAAAAUUACUUUUUCUCCUACUAUUUUCUGCACAAUUACUGUUUGGGUCUGUAGGAGAAAGGUGUUUAAUCCAGACACUGGCUGCAGUUUUGAUGUUCAUUCAGUGACUAAGCCUUAACAAGGAGUGUGAUAUUUUUCUGCUGCCCAUUGUUUUAGGAUUUUGUGUCUACACUCCUUAUUAAAUGUGCACAGUGAAUAUUAAAAAAAUAUUUAUUCUUUAAAAAAUAAUAUUUUUAAUAUUAAGAAAAUAAUUUCUAAACAUAGCUUUUAACAUCAUAUUCCACAAGAGCUUCAAGCUAGAACAGCACUGGCUGUAAGGUAAAAUCAAACAAUAGUUGGUUCUUUCACAUUCACUGUUCAAGUGUGGUAGAACUGGUGUACGUUUCUUGUUGAAAAUCAUUUGUUAUUGAUAAAUUUUGUGGAAAAUAAAUACUUCCAAUUCGGGAAAUUCUAUUAUUUCAUUUGUCUUAAUGUAUUUUAUUGGACGUUGCUUCAGCCCUGCUCUUGCUUCACCACGUAUGAAAGGCAGCACUGGGAUCUGCCAUCUAGUGGCAAAGUUCUGGCAAUAAGAGCACAUGGAAAAUAUUUUCAUUUUUCUUUCUUUCUAUAAUCUAACUUCAUGAAACACCUUGAAAAUAUUAGCUACGAGGCAGAUAAAAGCAAAAGUCCAUAAAAAUGUAAAAGGCAAAAGUUAUACCAAUAGUGUAAUUUCUUGGGUCACGUAAAUUCUGAAAAAUCUUCAUACUAUUAAAAAAGGAAGUUAACAAAAGUAAUUUCAAUUAAGAUGAAUAUUUCUGAAAAUGUAUAACUGUAUGCUUUAAUUAGUUUUGGUACAGUUACAUUAUUUGAAAUGCAUAAAAUACACCUUAGAGAAAAAUGUUAAUUGACAGUAAAUUCUUGUAUUAAAAAGUUAUUCUUAUAUUAAAAAAGCUGCCUGUGAGCUGCAUAUAUAGGUAGAAGAACAGAAGAUCAGGCCCUUAGUACUUCAGCAGAGGCCAGGGGUUAAUCAGGAUCAGGCACCUCUGAUACUACACACUGGGCAAAAUUAAAUCCAGCCUUUUAAAGAAAAUGCCAACACAUAGUUUUGCAUGCUGUGUCUGAAAUUUAUCCCCAUUAAAGUCAGUAGCAAAAUUCAAGAAGACUCACUGAAUAAACACAGCAUAGGUUUCUAUAGGUUUCUAAAAAAAAAAAAAGAUAAAUUAUCCCAUACCUCUUCCUCAUUUAUGAAUUGCCACCAGAUUUAUGAUGAAGUUGCUUAGACAAGAUAUUAGACGCCCAACUCCAAGUCUUUCUCUACCUAGUUUGGGUGUGGAACUGGAACUUUGGUGUCCCUCUGCUUUAAUCCAUUCAACUGUAUUACUCCUUUUUCCUAUGGACAACCAAAUCAUGGUCUUGACACUGAAGUGGAAGCCAAGGUCCUCUGAGCCCUCGACAGAGAGUGUCAUCAUUCACCAGUUACGCGUGAACUCUAGAUGAGUUACCACCCGAUAGAGCUCUCUGUGUGCACUACCCUCCAUGCCUGUGGAUGGAUCACUGUAGAAGCUCUCUGCCAGCAACACCAGGGUCACUUGUGCUACUGAUUAUUUGUGGAAGUUUUAGUGCUUCCAUUAGGUUUUAUAUAUUUUUUCUUCUUGGUAGAGAUUUAAAAAUGAAUGGCUUUGCUGGUAUUUUAAAAGUACCUAAUCAGAGAGAGAGCAGCAAUCUUUCUGCCAGCUGAAUUUCACUUUUAAUUGCAAAGCCUAAGGCACCUGCUUGAUUUUGUUUGAUAUCUGCCAUAUAAUUUAUUUUUAUAAUACACUUUGUAAAGUAGCUGUGCCGAAGUUGCAAUUCCUGUUGCUUAUUAUGCAUUUAUUUGUAGAAUACAGUGUCAAAUUUACAAUUUGAUAUUUUUGUAAUAGAGAGUAUGUGAAGAAAGAAAAAUGUAACUUCAGCAAUGUUUUCUGUUUAAAUGGAAAAGUAUUCAGUACAUUUUUUUGCCACCAUGAGAUUCUGUGAGACUAAAUACUCUGAAGACUGCUGUAUGGAAUUUGUUGCAGAAUAUUUCUUGCACUGUGUGAUGGUUUGGCAUAAAAUUAAGUAUUAAAGUCCAAUGCCUUGAAAUACAACCAGAUUUACUCAUUUUAAACAAUGUAAGUCAGUUUUUAAAGCUGUGAUUUUUUUCUAUAUAAAGUAUGUUUUUACUUCUGCCUGUACCAAAAAAGUCGAUUUUCAUUACACUGUAACUAAUAAAUUUUCACAACUAUGCAAAUAUAA
Molecule: RNA transcript, 12635 nt
Organism: Pseudopodoces humilis (Tibetan ground-tit)
Lineage: Eukaryota; Metazoa; Chordata; Aves; Passeriformes; Paridae
Gene: FILIP1
Gene name: filamin A interacting protein 1
Source: RefSeq, a predicted model, not a curated record